RNAcentral lists this ribosomal RNA (583 nucleotides) under Siphlonurus columbianus. RNAcentral's name for it is "SSU rRNA". It matches the Rfam family "Eukaryotic small subunit ribosomal RNA", at positions 573 to 1122 of the family's 1831-position model. The record is from RNAcentral. Lineage: Eukaryota; Metazoa; Arthropoda; Insecta; Ephemeroptera; Siphlonuridae.
GCCGCGGUAAUUCCAGCUCCAUUGGCGUAUAUUAAAGUUGUUGCGGUUAAAAAGCUCGUAGUUGGAUCUGUGUAUCGGACGGUCGGUUCGCCGCUCGCGGCGUUUAACUGACCGGUCCGGACGUCCUGCCGGUGGGACCCGGUUCACGCCGGGGCCCGUAACUCCCUCCGCGCUGCUCUUAACCGAGUGGUUCGGUGGGCCGGCACGUUUACUUUGAACAAAUUUGAGUGCUCAAAGCAGGCCUUAUGUUGCCUGAAAACUGUGUGCAUGGAAUAAUGGAAUAGGGCCUCGGUUCUAUUUUGUUGGCUUUUCUGAACCCGAGGUAAUGAUUAAUAGGGACAGACGGGGGCAUUCGUAUGGCGACGUUAGAGGUGAAAUUCUUGGAUCGUCGCCAGACGGACCGAUGCGAAAGCGUUUGCCAAGAAUGUUUUCGCUAAUCAAGAACGAAAGUUAGAGGUUCGAAGGCGAUCAGAUACCGCCCUAGUUCUAACCAUAAACGAUGCCAGCCAGCGAUGCGCCGAAGUUCCUCCGAUGACUCGGCGCGCAGCUUCCGGGAAACCAAAGCUUUUGGGUUCCGGGGGAA